UGGUCUUGACAUCCCGAAGAUCUCCCGGAAACGGGAGAGUGCUCUCUUUGAGAGAAUUCGGUGACAGGUGCUGCAUGGCUGUCGUCAGCUCGUGUCGUGAGAUGUUGGGUUAAGUCCCGCAACGAGCGCAACCCUUGCCCUUAGUUGCCAUCAGGUUAUGCUGGGAACUCUAAGGGGACUGCCCCGGAUAACGGGGAGGAAGGUGGGGAUGACGUCAAGUCCUCAUGGCCCUUACGUCCAGGGCUACACACGUGCUACAAUGGUUGGUACAACGGGAAGCAAUACCGCGAGGUGGAGCAAAUCCCUAAAAACCAGCCUCAGUUCGGAUUGCAGUCUGCAACUCGACUGCAUGAAGU
RNAcentral lists this ribosomal RNA (356 nucleotides) under uncultured bacterium. RNAcentral's name for it is "bacterial SSU rRNA". It matches the Rfam family "Bacterial small subunit ribosomal RNA", at positions 976 to 1326 of the family's 1533-position model. The record is from RNAcentral.